AGAAGAUGGUAAGGGCAAACGGUGGAUGCCUUGGCACAAGAAGCCGAUGAAGGACGUGAUAAGCUGCGAUAAGCCACGGUAAGGAGCACAUAUCCUGUGACCCGUGGAUUUCCGAAUGGGUAAACCCACCAAGAGUCAUUUCUUGGUACUUCCUGCUGAAUAUAUAGGCAGGAUAGAGGUAACCGGGGGAACUGAAACAUCUAAGUACCCCGAGGAAGAGAAAUCAAACGAGAUUCCCCUAGUAGUGGCGAGCGAACGGGGAUAUAGGACAAACCGUCAGUUGUGCAAGCGCUGGCGGGGUUGUAGGACCAUUCAUUGUGGAGUUACAAAACUUCGUGGAAGCAGAAUAGCUUGGAAAAGCUGGCGAGACAGGGUAAAAGCCCCGUACGCGAAUCUGCGAAGACUCCCGAGUGGCACCUGAGUACUGCCGGACACGUGAAACCCGGUGGGAACCUGGGGGGUCCACCCUCCAAUCCUAAAUACUCUCUUGUGACCGAUAGUGAACCAGUACCGUGAGGGAAAGGUGAAAAGCACCCCUAGCGGGGAGUGAAAUAGUACCUGAAACCGUUUGCCUACAAGCAGUCGGAGCAGACUUUUGUCUGUGACGGCGUGCCUUUUGUAGAAUGAGCCAGCGAGUUACGGCAUGUGGCAAGGUUAAGCUAAAAAGCGAGCCGCAGCGAAAGCGAGUCUGAAUAGGGCGAGUGAGUCGCAUACCGUAGACGCGAAGCCAGGUGAGCUAUCCAUGAGCAGGCUGAAGCGGGGGUAAGACCCCGUGGAGGGCCGAACCCACUUAGGUUGAAAACUGAGGGGAUGACUUGUGGAUAGGAGUGAAAGGCCUAUCAAACCUGGAGAUAUCUCGUUCUCUCCGAAAUAGCUUUAGGGCUAGCCUCGGAUGUUUACCAAUGGGGGUAGAGCACUGAAUAGUUGCGGGGGCUUCACCGCCUACCAAGAUUAAUCAAACUCCGAAUACCAUUGGUCUAGAAUCCGGGAGUCAGAAUAUGUGGGCUAAGCUGUGUAUUCGAAAGGGAAACAGCCCAGACCGCCCGCUAAGGUCCCAAAAUCAAUGCUAAGUGGCAAAGGAUGUGCGUUUGCUCAGACAACCAGGAUGUUGGCUUAGAAGCAGCCAUUCAUUUAAAGAGUGCGUAAUAGCUCACUGGUCGAGUGGACAUGCGCCGACAAUAUACGGGGCUAAGCAUUGUACCGAAGCGGCGGAUUAGUACUUUGUACUGGUGGUAGGAGAGCUUUCUGUACGGGUUGAAGCAGUUGGAUAACCAACUGUGGACUGUCCAGAAGUGAGAAUGCUGGCAUGAGUAACGAGAGACAUGUAAAAAACAUGUCCGCCGUAAACCCAAGGUUUCCUGGGCAAGGCUAAUCCUCCCAGGGUUAGGCGGGAGCUAAGGCAAGGCCGGAAGGCGUAGUCGAUGCACAACAGGUAGAAAUUCCUGUCCCUCCAAAAGAGCGUUAUCACCAAUGGGGUGACGGAGCAGGGUAGCUAGGCGGGGUUCUGGACGUCCCCGUGAUGGCACGUAGGCUGAGAAGUAGUGAAAUGCGCUUCUCGUGUGGCUGAGGUGUCGGACGAAGCAAUUGAGUGAAGCUAGUAAGCCCAUACUUCCAAGAAAAACCUCUAGGGAGCUCUGAGGAGCCCGUACCGCAAACCGACACAGGUGGGUGGGUAGAGCAUACCAAGGCGAUCGGGAGAACUAUGGUUAAGGAACUCGGCAAAAUUGCCCCGUAACUUCGGGAGAAGGGGUGCCGGUUUCGGUGAAGGGAUUUACUCCCCGAGCUAAGAUCGGUCACAGUAAAUAGGUCCAAGCGACUGUUUAUCAAAAACACAGGACUCUGCUGAAGUCGUAAGACGACGUAUAGGGUCUGACGCCUGCCCGGUGCCGGAAGGUCACGAGGAGUUGUUAGCAUUAGCGAAGCAGCGAAUCUAAGCCCCGGUAAACGGCGGCCGUAACUAUAACGGUCCUAAGGUAGCGAAAUUCCUUGUCGGGUAAGUUCCGACCUGCACGAAAGGCGUAACGAUUUGGACGCUGUCUCAACCAUAGACCCGGUGAAAUUGCACUAGUCGUGAAGAUGCGACUUACCCGCAGAAGGACGGAAAGACCCCGUGAACCUUUACUGCAGCUUGACAUUGGCUGCCGGUUCGUCGUGUAGAGGAUAGGUGGGAGACUUUGAACCAGGGACGCCAGUCUCUGGGGAGUCACCCUUGGAAUACCACCCUCGACGUUCUGGCAUCCUAACUUGCGACCGUUAUCCGGCGUGAGGACCGUGUCAGGUGGGUAGUUUGACUGGGGCGGUCGCCUCCUAAAAUGUAACGGAGGCGCACGUAAGGUCUGCUCAGGAUGGUCGGCAACCAUCCUUUUGAGUGCAAGAGCAUAAGCAGGCUUGACUGCGAGGCCUACAAGCCGAGCAGAUGGGAAACCAGGUUCUAGUGAUCCGGCGGCUCAGAGUGGUAUGGCCGUCGCUCAACGGACAAAAGGUACUCCGGGGAUAACAGGCUGAUCUUCCCCAAGAGUCCACAUCGACGGGAAGGUUUGGCACCUCGAUGUCGGCUCAUCGCAUCCUGGGGCUGGAGCAGGUCCCAAGGGUAUGGCUGUUCGCCAUUUAAAGCGGUACGCGAGCUGGGUUCAGAACGUCGUGAGACAGUUCGGUCCCUAUCCUCUGUGGGCGUAGGAAAAUUGAGGGAGGCUGCCCCUAGUACGAGAGGACCGGGGUGGACGGACCUCCGGUGUACGGGUUGUUAACCAAUAGCAUUGCCCGGUAGCUGAGUCCGGUCGGGAUAACCGCUGAAAGCAUCUAAGCGGGAAGCCCAUCCCAAGAUGAGUUUUCCUUUCGGUAAGACCCCUUGUAGACUACGAGGUUGAUAGGAUGCAGAUGUAAGUGCUGUAAGGCAUUCAGUCGAGCAUUACUAAUCGGUCGAGCUCUUCUUUUCUUUAAUAUAUUUU
Molecule: ribosomal RNA, 2948 nt
Filed under: Atopobium sp.
Lineage: Bacteria; Bacillati; Actinomycetota; Coriobacteriia; Coriobacteriales; Atopobiaceae
Description: 23S ribosomal RNA
Rfam family: Bacterial large subunit ribosomal RNA
Source: RNAcentral